GAAUUAUCAAGCCCCCGUCUAAGCUGCUAACUUAGAUUAAAAUGGUUAAACUCCAUUUGUAAUUCU
Molecule: transfer RNA, 66 nt
Filed under: Dagualachesilla anchicayaensis
Lineage: Eukaryota; Metazoa; Arthropoda; Insecta; Psocodea; Sphaeropsocidae
Description: tRNA-Ser
Source: RNAcentral